AAGGGGACUCGGUGACCAAUUCGGUGCUCCAACGCACGGUUUUCUUGGAGCCGGAAGAGGGCGUUGAAAUCACAGGUUGCUCGUUCUGAGUCGGAGUCUGGUUCUCUGAACCCAUCACGAAAUUGCCCCAAUUCCCAUCUCCAUUGGGGGUCUGAACCUCCUCUUUGGGGUCGGAUUUUGGGCUCUUAUCGUCGGUGGAGAUGGGAGCUUUGUUAUCGGCCUCCUGCUUCGGCAGCUCCAUCAAAAAUUCUUCUGAAACAGAGAUAUGGGAUUGUGUUGGGUAUUUUAGUGAGGGGGAAAAUGGGAGAAAGAGGAAAGGCUUGGCUGAGAGGGCGGUAAUGGCCGG
Molecule: unclassified non-coding RNA, 346 nt
Filed under: Hevea brasiliensis (rubber tree)
Lineage: Eukaryota; Viridiplantae; Streptophyta; Magnoliopsida; Malpighiales; Euphorbiaceae
Source: RNAcentral